RNAcentral lists this long non-coding RNA (1449 nucleotides) under Pavo cristatus (Indian peafowl). Its description in RNAcentral is "lncRNA (ENSPSTG00000002251.1)". The record is from RNAcentral. Lineage: Eukaryota; Metazoa; Chordata; Aves; Galliformes; Phasianidae.
AUGGAGAGCAAAACGCGGGUUGUGCCCACAGAGCAGCAGCGAUGGGACGCGGCAUGGCAGCCGUCGGGAUCCAUCCUCUCUCUGGACAGGCGAGGGGCCAAGAAAGUGCUGGAGAUCUACGUCAGGCGCUCAUUGAGCUGCUGUGAGAACACGCAGGCGGCCAAGGAAAGGCUUCAGGAGAGAGCCAAAGGGCGAGGGAGGAAGGCAGCCGUGCUGCAAAGGUCGGAGAGUGACUUUGGCAAGUAUUCGCAUGCCAAGCACAGCCUGAAGAAGGAGGAGGAGGAGGCGGCCAAGGAGCUGGAGGAGGCUGUGGUUGAGGAGAGCAAAGCGUCGGCUCCUGGGGAGGAUCCUAAAGCGGAGCCGGAGCGCCAGAGGAAAAGCACAAAGAGCUCUCCCCAGGGCAAGGCCCAGCGCACCUGGUUCAAGAGCCUCUUAAAUCUGCUCUUCAGAAGGAGUCCUGAGGAGCAGAAGGAAAACGUGGGGCAAAAAACAAAGGAAAAAGAUGUCAGAACUCCUUACAGCAGCAAAACAGAAGGGGCCAGGAGACCCAGAGCUGACACCAGCACGUCCCCAACACUGGGCAAAGCCCCCAGGAGGAGACCCAGCCUCAAGAAGGUCUUCUCCUUCAAGAAGAACAUGGAGGAGGAGCGUGGUGAGGUGGGGGCCAGGGCCAAGCGCCCCGGCUGCCUGCCCCUGCGGCACGUCCUUGCAUCCAGCCCCACAGAGGCCGAGCAGCCGGAGGGUUACUAUGCACGGGUCUCGGAGGAGGUCGGGCUGAUCGUGCAGGGCAGUGGGGAGCGCAGGGCUGAGCGGCUGCCAGGGCCAACCUGCACCGAUGGGGUCGAUGAAGCCAUCAGAGAAAUUGUGGCCCUGCUGCAGGAAGCUGGAGAUGAGCUGGACAGGCAGGUGAGAGUCUACGGUCGGCGGGAAUGGGGCCGGGGGAACCUUCGCUCUGCCGCAGUGCAACACCUCCGGCUGGAGGCGCUCAGUGAAAUCAAGGAAAUGGUGCCCUCGAAUUCCCCGCCGGGGUGUGAUCCCGUCUGCCUGCCCCGUCCCAUCUGCAGUCCCCGUGAGAUGCGACGGCGUCAACCCGAGGCUGACGCAUUGUUUGCCCUCGAUGAACCCAUUCGUUUGCUUCUCCGACAGGUGAGGGAAGACGUGCGGCUGCGGACGUUCUUCAGAGACAUGUCCUACAGCUCCUUCAAGAACCUGGCCGACGCCUACGUCCGCCGGGAGAUGACGGCCAGCCGACCCAACGUCAACCCCCAGGAGAUCCAGUUUGCCUUCACGGUGCACCUCACCGCCAAAGUGGCCGGCAUCUGCAACCAGGCCGUGAACAGGAUCAUGGGAUUCGGCACCCGCUACUUGGAAGACUCGUUUGCGCCCUUGUCCUACAGCAAGGUCCUCCAGGUAAGGAGGGCUUGGGCAGAGGAUGGGGUCAGGGUGUGA